This 1288-nucleotide ribosomal RNA is filed under the name uncultured soil bacterium. RNAcentral describes it as "bacterial SSU rRNA". It matches the Rfam family "Bacterial small subunit ribosomal RNA", at positions 58 to 1368 of the family's 1533-position model. The record is from RNAcentral.
CAAGUCGAGCGGUGUAGCAAUACACAGUGGCGAACGGGUGAGUAAUGAAUCGCUAAUGUGCCCCGGACUCUGGGAUAGCUGCCCGAAAGGGCAGGUAAUACCAGAUGAUAUAACUUUGUCGCAUGACAGAGUUCUCAAAGGUCCGCCGGUCUGGGAGCAGGCGAUUUCGUAUCAGCUUGUUGGUGAGGUAACGGCUCACCAAGGCGACGACGCGUAGCCGGACUGAGAGGUUGGCCGGCCACAUUGGGACUGAGACACUGCCCAGACUCCUACGGGGGGCUGCAGUAACGAAUCUUCCGCAAUGCACGAAAGUGUGACGGAGCGACGCCGCGUGUAGGACGAAGCCCUUCGGGGUGUAAACUACUGUCAGGGGUUAGAAAGUUCUGAUCAACCCCAGAGGAAGGCACGGCUAACUCUGUGCCAGCAGCCGCGGUAAGACAGAGGUGCCAAGCGUUAGGCGGAAUCACUGGGCUUAAAGCGUGUGUAGGUGGAUCGUUAAGUGCCUUGUGAAAUCCCACGGCUCAACCGUGGAACUGCUUGGCAUACUGGCGGUCUUGAGCCAUUCAGGGGCUACUGGAACAAACGGUGGAGCGGUGAAAUGCGUAGAUAUCGUUUGGAACGCCAAAGGUGAAAACAGGUAGCUGGGGAUGUGCUGACACUGAGACACGAAAGCCAGGGGAGCAAACGGGAUUAGAUACCCCGGUAGUCCUGGCCCUAAACGAUGUCCACUAGAUCGUGGUGGCUCUGACGUUAUCACGGUCGAAGCAAAAGUGCUAAGUGGACCGCCUGGGAAGUACGGUCGCAAGGCUAAAACUCAAAGGAAUUGACGGGGGCUCACACAAGCGGUGGAGCAUGUGGUUUAAUUCGAAGCAACGCGCAGAACCUUACCUGGGUUUGACAUGACAGGAUUAUCCCUGUGAAAGCAGGGUAUGCCCUUCGGGGUACAACUGUUACAGGUGCUGCAUGGCUGUCGUCAGCUCGUGUCGUGAGAUGUCGGGUUAAGUCCCAUAACGAGCGAAACCUUUGCCCUUAGUUACCAGCGGGUUAUGCCGGGGACUCUAAGGGGACUGCCGGUGUCAAACCGGAGGAAGGUGGAGAUGACGUCAAGUCCUCAUGGCCUUUAUGCCCAGGGCUACACACGUGCUACAAUGGGACGGACAAAGCGAACCUAGAACGCGAGUUCAUGGAAAACGCAAAAAUCGUCCCCCAGUUCAGAUCGGAGGCUGCAACUCGCCUCCGUGAAGUUGGAAUCGCUAGUAAUCGCGGAUCAGCUACGCCGCGGUGAAUA